RNAcentral lists this unclassified non-coding RNA (312 nucleotides) under Hevea brasiliensis (rubber tree). The record is from RNAcentral. Lineage: Eukaryota; Viridiplantae; Streptophyta; Magnoliopsida; Malpighiales; Euphorbiaceae.
GUCCUACAUCUCUCUACUAUACAAGCAAGAAUGGCAUCACUGAAGGCUGAGAGACCUGUUGGUACAUCGAGCGUUUUUGGCCAAGCCGCCAAGGCUACUGACGGAGCAACCAAAGGCCAAACUGCCAAACCGGCAGCUAAAGCUAGUGAGGGAGCAGCCAAGGGUGCAACUACCAAACAGGCACAUAAAAAGGCUGAACAGAAGCCCCACGAGCCAAAGAAGAAGCAGGGGAAAAGUGGAAAAGCUGCAGCCAAAAAGUAAUAGAAGAAGCAAGGGAGAGAAUGCGAGUGUUGUUUGUUUUCUCGACUAAAA